This is a long non-coding RNA of Haliotis rubra (blacklip abalone), 674 nucleotides long. RefSeq lists it as uncharacterized. The transcript is spliced from 3 exons. NCBI's taxonomy places the organism in Eukaryota, Metazoa, Mollusca, Gastropoda, Lepetellida, Haliotidae. The record is from RefSeq and is a predicted model, not a curated record.
UUUACCGUCCAAAAGGACUUCAACAUCAGAAACCAGUAUGACAUGUACAAAAACGACUUGGCCAUACUCAAGCUCAGAGAGGUUACCGAUACCAUGCCCAUAUGUCUUGCUGGUAUUCCUGAGCUGCAACCGACCAUGGAUACAAUUGAGAGGAGCGGCGACUGUUGGUUCAUGGGAAGGGGUUAUCUGGGGAGCCUGCCUUAAAGGAACUCGCCAGUCGGGCAGCUGCUUCAUACGGGACGACGAGGCAGGUCCAUGCAGAUCUCGUUGGAUAUCGAGAUUGCGGCGAGAUGUUGCACACAAAGCUGGAUGAGAGCAUGAUCUGUUUGCAAGAUGGCGAGAACGGUCCGUGUGAGGGCGAUGCUGGCGGUCCCCUGUCUUGUCGGUACAAUGGCGUGUUCUACCUCACUGGAGUCAUGUCUAGGCUGGGUAGGCUGGGUGAGGACUGCGACGUCAGUGUCAACCCAAGUGUCUUCAGGCUUUUCACCUACUACUAUCCUUGGGUGGCGGCCAUAAUACCAUAUUGGUACUAGAGGAAGUCUCCUUGAAGAAUUUUAACGGUUUGGAACAAUCUCAAUUUUGGAUAUUCUACAAGAGAUUCGUUGAUAUCUUUGGGAUUCAAGUCACAUUACAACUAACAACAUCACGAGGUUAAAAUGUUUUAAAACGAUUCA